CCGGUUCUCGUUAGAUCACCGAAGUCAAGCAUCAUUGGGCGCGGUCAGUACUUGGGUGGGUGACCACCUGGGAACACUGCGUGCCGUU
This is a non-coding RNA of Caerostris darwini, 88 nucleotides long. Lineage: Eukaryota; Metazoa; Arthropoda; Arachnida; Araneae; Araneidae. The record is from the annotation of a GenBank genome assembly.